CUUCACUAUGGGAUUGUUUAAGUUUUAAUACAUAAAUAUGCUUUCUGGUACCCCAGGAAUGUUAGCUGUGGAAAUAAGCAAUGUUUCCUUCAUUUGUGGAAUUUUCUUUUUAUUGAACUAAUAACAGCACUUAUUUUCUACAGCAUAGAGUAUGGCUUCAGAAAAAGAUAAGCCCUGAGUAUGCAGUUAGACUUUGUGAGACACACAUGCACACAAGUAUAAUUGUAAGCCCUGGCCCCCACUCUCCAUAUCCCCUGAGGAAAGUCUUUCCUUACUGGCUUCCAGAGAGUCUUCCUGCACAGAGACCAUCACUCACCUGGACUCAGGUUGAACUUCAGAGCCUUGAUAGGAAACACAGUACCACAAGCCAGAACAGUUGCUGUCUUCUCUUAGACUGUGACUUUGAAAUAGUUGCUUUCUGGAAUUCUUUUCUUCUAAAAUGCUUUCUGGUCUCCAUUUUAGAAUAUGAUCAUCAAAGAUCUUAACCACAUUUUUUAAAAAUUAGACAAUCUUGCAAACCCUUUAAGUUCAAAACUAUUCCUAGAGCAAAGCUGGUGUCAGUGAAGAAAAGGUAGAGAAAUAUUUUGUUGCAAAGAUACGAUUAACAAUAGCCCAAUCCCCAACCCUGUAUCUCCAUUAUGUUUUCAGUGCAAACUAUUUCUGCUAAUGGUCUACAUAUGAAAAACAGAUUCUUUUUUUAAUGUUUUUUGUAGUUUUAGAUGGACAGCAUGACUUUAUUUUGUUUGCUUAUUUUUGUAUGUGGUGCUGAGGCUCAAACCCAGUGUCUCACAUGUGCCAGGCAAGCAUGCUGCCACUGAGCCACAGCCUCAACCCAAGAUUUAAGUAAAAUUAAUUAAACUGAUCACCUGUUUGCUUCUUUAAAUGAGUGACUCUAACCUGGAAGUUUUGCAUAUUUGCUAACUUAUAUGCUUGUAGUGCACAAAAAAUUUUGAUUUUAGAGUGGUAGUAUUGUAACUUCAAAUAUGUAUGUAUGAUUAAUUUACAUAUUUAAAUUUUAGUUGGAUCUCAGUCACAUUUCUGAAAAAUAUCCAGCAAUUAGAAUACCAAAAGGAAAUUCAAUUUGGCAAAUUAAGUUAGAAAUGUCAAAAAUAAAUAAAUAAAUAAAAUGUAACCUGGGAGAAAAUUCUAGGAGGUAAUACUUAAACAAAUGUUUUCACACACACAAAAAAAAGGCAAAACUUCAAGAUAGGUUUGGAAAUUUCAAAGUAGACAUUAGCAAGUUCGGGAAGAGGAAUUUAAACUGGAAACUCAGGACCUGAGGAAAGUGAGUGGGUUUGCAGUCUGUGGGUGCUUGAGAAAAGUCUUGGAUAUACUGCUUAUUCCACUAAAAUAAAAUAAGAAGCAAGAAGACAAGCUCAUAAUGUUAGUGCUAUUAGUCUGGUGACAAUAUUUCCUUAAAAAUUAGUGUUUAUCCAGGAUGGGACUAGGUUUCAGCCGUAGCAUACUUGCCUGGCAUGUGUGAGGUACUGUUUUUGAUUCUCAGCACUGCAUAUAAACAAAUAAAGGUCUAUCAACAACUAAAAUAUAUAUUUUUUUAAAGUGUUUAACCACUCAGAGAAGCCAACACACCUGCUUGGUUCAGUUCCGUUUUAUUCAGACAGUAGAGACCUAACCUGUUUUGUGUUUAACUGUGAAUUGCUGUACAAAAAGUUGUACUAGGUAUAUGACACACAUUGAAAACUUUUCUCAAUAGCUGUUGGAAAAGGCUAAGCUAAUUUGUCUAGCUUAACUAUUUAGGAAAAGAUCAUUAAUGUAUUUGUUCAGGAUUGGGGGAAAAAAACAUUUUGGGUAUCCUGAAAACAAGCAAAAUACUUAAUAAUAAGAGCCUUAGAUCCAUGACCAUCUCAUUUAUAUCUAUUAGUAUUUUGACUUUAAGUUGCCUGAAGAAGGGGCUGGGGAUAUGGCUCAAGCCGUAGCACGCUCGCCUGGCAUGCUUGCAGCCCAGGUUCAAUCCUCAGCACCACAUACAAACAAAGAUAUUGUGUC
This 2007-nucleotide long non-coding RNA is filed under the name Marmota monax (woodchuck). Lineage: Eukaryota; Metazoa; Chordata; Mammalia; Rodentia; Sciuridae. The record is from RNAcentral.